CAACGCAAGCCUUUGCUCAUUUGCAUAACAAUUGUAGGGGUGUGGUAUUUUACGCAGCAGAUCACUUGUUGCAAGAGACACAGGUGUGAGUGCUUGUGAGUUUGCAGGUGCUUUGUGAACCAUGUGAGCGGCCUCUGUUCGUGACUGACAGUUACGCCUUUAUGCCAAUCAAACCACAAAUUGUGGGGCUUCAUUCUUAUAUAGCCAUAUCCAAAAACAAAAACAUUUUGGACAAACAGAAAACCUCUUAUGGAGAGUGUCCAACUCGUUCUGCCAUCCUCUUUCUUUGUCCCACUUGGUUUGUGACAGCACCAAGACAGCUCAGAGAGUUUCUCAGAAAUGUUAAGUGUAGCCCCUACUCACAAACACGGGUCGUUCAAAGCCCUCAUGUUUGCAUACACAUGUGCUUCACAUGCCUCUCCAUGACCACUGUAUUGCUUUUUAAAACCAGUGUUUUUAUGGGUUUGAAUAUGUAUGCCCAAAACAAGUUGCAACACAGUUGUUUUUCCUAAGCGCACACAAAAGAUAACCACCCAUUCAGCUGGGCUCUAAGCUGCUCAAACACUGCUACCUGAAUCAACCCGUAAGGGAGAAUCAACAUGAGUUCUCUGACUGAACUAAAUAAAUACUGCAUCUAGA
Sinocyclocheilus rhinocerous is the source of this 639-nucleotide long non-coding RNA. RefSeq lists it as uncharacterized. The record is from RefSeq and is a predicted model, not a curated record. The transcript has 2 exons. NCBI's taxonomy places the organism in Eukaryota, Metazoa, Chordata, Actinopteri, Cypriniformes, Cyprinidae.